CUACCUACGGGGGGCAGCAGUAGGGGAUAUUGGACAAUGGGGGGAACCCUGAUCCAGCGACGCCGCGUGAGUGAAGAAGUAUCUCGGUAUGUAAAGCUCUAUCAGCAGGGAAGAAAGAAAUGACGGUACCUGAGUAAGAAGCCCCGGCUAACUACGUGCCAGCAGCCGCGGUAAUACGUAGGGGGCAAGCGUUAUCCGGAAUUACUGGGUGUAAAGGGAGCGUAGACGGUGAAGUAAGUCUGGAGUGAAAGGCGGGGGCUCAACCCCGGUACUGCAUUGGAAACUGGCGGGCUG
RNAcentral lists this ribosomal RNA (294 nucleotides) under uncultured bacterium. RNAcentral describes it as "partial 16S ribosomal RNA". It matches the Rfam family "Bacterial small subunit ribosomal RNA", at positions 335 to 643 of the family's 1533-position model. The record is from RNAcentral.